UGGGUUCGCCUGUUCUUCCUCCCAUUUCCCUUCCCCUUUCACCAAGCAUUCCAUUUCCCAAUGGCGCUUCAUCUUCCUCCAGUCGUGGAUUCCCGAAUGUGGAGGAUUCCUCUUAUAUCACAGAGUCCCCUUUCCCCAGCUUCAAAUGGCGAUUGCUCAUCGCUUAUGACGGUACCCGAUACGCAGGCUGGCAAUAUCAGCG
This 202-nucleotide unclassified non-coding RNA is filed under the name Hevea brasiliensis (rubber tree). Lineage: Eukaryota; Viridiplantae; Streptophyta; Magnoliopsida; Malpighiales; Euphorbiaceae. The record is from RNAcentral.